Gossypium raimondii (Peruvian cotton) is the source of this 367-nucleotide long non-coding RNA. RefSeq lists it as uncharacterized. Lineage: Eukaryota; Viridiplantae; Streptophyta; Magnoliopsida; Malvales; Malvaceae. The record is from RefSeq and is a predicted model, not a curated record. The transcript is spliced from 2 exons.
UUCUUCUCCACCAUUCAUGUGUAAGAGAAAAAGAGAAAAGAGUUUUCAGUUUCAAACUAUUCAGCCUUUCAAAUUGUUAAAGACGACGCAGGACUGUCGAGAGAGAAAGGAAAGGAGAGAGUCGACGAUGAGUGUGCAAGCUUUCAAUUUGUAUUUCUACGAUUCGAUUCAAUUUAAUUAUUGCUUAUUCAUGUUAAAUUGCAUGACUUAGUCAUGAGGUAAGAAUAUAAUACUUGUAUGAGUUAAGUUGAGAUGAUUGAUACGAUAUAUUGAGAUAGAGGACUAAAUUAAGUAGAAUAGAAAGUUGCAUGGCUUACAUGAUUAUGAAAUUGAGAUUUAUAAAAUGUUAGUUGAACUUAUAAUGAAA